This 544-nucleotide ribosomal RNA is filed under the name Klebsiella pneumoniae. Its description in RNAcentral is "bacterial SSU rRNA". It matches the Rfam family "Bacterial small subunit ribosomal RNA", at positions 999 to 1533 of the family's 1533-position model. The record is from RNAcentral. Lineage: Bacteria; Pseudomonadati; Pseudomonadota; Gammaproteobacteria; Enterobacterales; Enterobacteriaceae.
UCCAGAGAUGGAUUGGUGCCUUCGGGAACUGUGAGACAGGUGCUGCAUGGCUGUCGUCAGCUCGUGUUGUGAAAUGUUGGGUUAAGUCCCGCAACGAGCGCAACCCUUAUCCUUUGUUGCCAGCGGUCAGGCCGGGAACUCAAAGGAGACUGCCAGUGAUAAACUGGAGGAAGGUGGGGAUGACGUCAAGUCAUCAUGGCCCUUACGACCAGGGCUACACACGUGCUACAAUGGCAUAUACAAAGAGAAGCGACCUCGCGAGAGCAAGCGGACCUCAUAAAGUAUGUCGUAGUCCGGAUUGGAGUCUGCAACUCGACUCCAUGAAGUCGGAAUCGCUAGUAAUCGUAGAUCAGAAUGCUACGGUGAAUACGUUCCCGGGCCUUGUACACACCGCCCGUCACACCAUGGGAGUGGGUUGCAAAAGAAGUAGGUAGCUUAACCUUCGGGAGGGCGCUUACCACUUUGUGAUUCAUGACUGGGGUGAAGUCGUAACAAGGUAACCGUAGGGGAACCUGCGGUUGGAUCACCUCCUUACCUUAAAGAA